RNAcentral lists this small RNA (69 nucleotides) under Acididesulfobacillus acetoxydans. Its description in RNAcentral is "Peptococcaceae bacterium INE non-coding RNA". Lineage: Bacteria; Bacillati; Bacillota; Clostridia; Eubacteriales; Peptococcaceae. The record is from RNAcentral.
GUUUCAAUUCCUCAUAGGCAGGCUAUCGGCCUGUGUCGUGUUUCACUUGGCCACCUGGCCAUGUUCCGG